AAGUCGUAACAAGGUUUCCGUAGGUGAACCUGCGGAAGGAUCAUUGACAAAUCUAAACAAUGUUGCUUGUGGUGAGUAGCAAUGCUUACUGCAAGUUAACAAACAUUCUAACCUGUGAAUUGGCAGCACGCAAGUGUUGUUUGUGUAAAGUGCGUGUGUUGCAUUACCUUUAUUAGGUAGCUGGUAGCAUGCGCCUUUGCCUAAAUUAACGUAACAAAUUGUCUUAACAAAAACAAAACAAAAUACAACUUUUAGCAAUGGAUCUCUUGGCUUCU
RNAcentral lists this unclassified non-coding RNA (275 nucleotides) under fungal sp. Its description in RNAcentral is "partial internal transcribed spacer region". The stretch from base 1 to 46 matches the Rfam family "Eukaryotic small subunit ribosomal RNA", at positions 1786 to 1831 of the family's 1831-position model. Lineage: Eukaryota; Fungi. The record is from RNAcentral.